UCCCUGGUGGCUCAGAUGGUAAAGCGUUUGCCUACAAUGCAGGAGACCUGGGUUUGAUCCCUGGUCGGGAAG
This 72-nucleotide transfer RNA is filed under the name Bos taurus (domestic cattle). It matches the Rfam family "tRNA". Rfam says of the family: Transfer RNA (tRNA) molecules are approximately 80 nucleotides in length. Their secondary structure includes four short double-helical elements and three loops (D, anti-codon, and T loops). Further hydrogen bonds mediate the characteristic L-shaped molecular structure. tRNAs have two regions of fundamental functional importance: the anti-codon, which is responsible for specific mRNA codon recognition, and the 3' end, to which the tRNAs corresponding amino acid is attached (by aminoacyl-tRNA synthetases). tRNAs cope with the degeneracy of the genetic code in two manners: having more than one tRNA (with a specific anti-codon) for a particular amino acid; and 'wobble' base-pairing, i.e. permitting non-standard base-pairing at the 3rd anti-codon position. The record is from Rfam by way of RNAcentral. Lineage: Eukaryota; Metazoa; Chordata; Mammalia; Artiodactyla; Bovidae. RNAcentral also lists the same sequence under 5 other names.